ACUCACACGAAAGUGGAACCAGUGGAAGAGAUCAAGUGAGGAUCUCCCGGGGUCCUCCCCAGCUCUCCCUGCACCCUGGUGGAGGUGCCGUGCAGCAGGACAGGAGCUCAGCCUGCAGCACACACAACCUUCCUACGGGGGAGGCUGGAGCACAGGUCCCUUUAUCAGGCACCUGACUCCUUUUUGUGACUUGCCUUCUGCAAUAUGGGCAGCCAAGCAUUGAGGUGACAUCUUUAUUUUCUUCUUGGACUUGCCCUUGGAUAAAAAAAAUUCUGGCAACUGCUUAAAGUAUUGCACAUUUCCAAAGAGUUUGACUGAAGCAUAUUGUUGCAGUGGAUUCUUUGCUGCUAUUAUUGUGAGAUAAACAGGUUAAAUAUUGACUACAUAAUUUCAGUUGCCAAGAUUGUAAGUGGGCAACUACUGAAAUAUGCAAGUACAUCAUGUAAGUCUAGAUGAAAACAAUCUGAUAUGAAAGGAAUGAUCAGUUAUCUAUAAUAUGUGUGGAUCCCUCAGAAAAUACAGUUAUAUUCUAGGAGGUUCUGAGAUAAA
Molecule: long non-coding RNA, 549 nt
Organism: Neopelma chrysocephalum (saffron-crested tyrant-manakin)
Lineage: Eukaryota; Metazoa; Chordata; Aves; Passeriformes; Pipridae
Exons: 3
Source: RefSeq, a predicted model, not a curated record